AUUUUCUUUAAUGUUUGGUUUCAAAAGGAAAAAGGCCACAUUUUAGUGUUUUUUUAAAUUGCUAGGAUGGCAAAAACUUGUGUCGUUUGUGCCGCAUCAUGAUAAAAAGGUGAUUCAAGCCGAUCUUUUCACAAGAUUUCUGAUGCACUGGUUAAAAACACAGCAGCCGAUAAUUCAGUUAAUUUACCAAGUGAUUUACCCUUCAAAGCUGCAGGGGUAGCUUUCCUGAAGAGUGCAAAAACUUCUUUAGCUUCCAAAAUGGUAUAUAGUACAAACAGUGAAGCUAAUAUAGACAAAUCUGAUCAUUCAUCAUCAACAAUAACUGCAUCUAAGAUUAAUAGUUCUACAGUAACCGUGGGGUCUAGGUCAACAAUUACUAUUUCUCAUCCAAGCCGUUUUUGUUUAACUGCUACACAUUCCCUGACUCUGCCAAGGAAAAGGGUAAAAUCAAAAUGAUAUCCUGAGGACCUAAGCACUGAUGAUUCCACCGUUUCAAAAGCUAAAUCACUUGUUACCAAAUUAUGGAAAAAAAAUAAAGAACAAAAAAUUAAAAUUCGAAGAUUGCAAUAAACAAAUUUGCGCCAAAGAAAUUGAAUUAGAUGUCUCAAGUCAUUAUUAAAAUACUUAAGAAAUAAUAACAUGAUUUUCGAAAA
Molecule: long non-coding RNA, 653 nt
Organism: Anthonomus grandis grandis
Lineage: Eukaryota; Metazoa; Arthropoda; Insecta; Coleoptera; Curculionidae
Exons: 4
Source: RefSeq, a predicted model, not a curated record